AACACGUAGGUAACCUGCCCAUGUGCCCGGGAUAACUUCUGGAAACGGAUGCUAAAACCGGAUAGGUAAGCAGACAAGCAUUUGACUGCUAUUAAAGUGGCUAAGGCCAUGAACAUGGAUGGACCUGCGGUGCAUUAGCUAGUUGGUGAGGUAACGGCCCACCAAGGCGACGAUGCAUAGCCGGCCUGGAGAGGGCGGACGGCCACCAUUGGGACUGAGACACGGCCCAAACUCCUACGGGAGGCAGCAUG
RNAcentral lists this ribosomal RNA (251 nucleotides) under uncultured bacterium. Its description in RNAcentral is "partial 16S ribosomal RNA". It matches the Rfam family "Bacterial small subunit ribosomal RNA", at positions 112 to 353 of the family's 1533-position model. The record is from RNAcentral.